Molecule: unclassified non-coding RNA, 149 nt
Filed under: uncultured fungus
Lineage: Eukaryota; Fungi
Description: sequence contains ITS1, 5.8S rRNA gene
Source: RNAcentral
CAAUAAGUGUUUAAUGGCACUUUAAAUCCAUUACCCACCUUGUGUGCACUGUAAGGAGGAGGCAGAGCGGUUACCGUUCUGUCGCUUUCAUUAUACAUAUACUAUCUUCAUUUCUCGUCUACAUUUGUAUGAGCAUAAAAACUCUAAUA